GAUGAACGCUGGCGGCGUGCCUAAUACAUGCAAGUCGAACGAAGCCUUCGGGCUUAGUGGCGGACGGGUGAGUAACACGUUGGUACCUGCCUCGAAGUGGGGAAUAACUGGCCGAAAGGUCGGCUAAUACCGCAUGUGAUCGCAAGAUCAAAGUCGUAAGACGCUUCGAGAGGGGCCUGCGUCCCAUUAGCUAGUUGGUAGGGUAAUGGCCUACCAAGGUGACGAUGGGUAGCUGGAUCGAGAGGUUGACCAGCCACACUGGGACUGAGAUACGGCCCAGACUCCUACGGGAGGCAGCAGUAAGGAAUCUUCCACAAUGGACGAAAGUCUGAUGGAGCAACGCCGCGUGCAGGAUGACGGCCUUCGGGUUGUAAACUGCUAUUAUAUGGGAAGAUUAUGACGGUACCAUAUGAAUAAGGACCGGCUAACUACGUGCCAGCAGCCGCCGUAA
Molecule: ribosomal RNA, 451 nt
Filed under: uncultured bacterium
Lineage: Bacteria
Description: partial 16S ribosomal RNA
Rfam family: Bacterial small subunit ribosomal RNA
Source: RNAcentral